Molecule: long non-coding RNA, 386 nt
Organism: Pantherophis guttatus
Lineage: Eukaryota; Metazoa; Chordata; Lepidosauria; Squamata; Colubridae
Source: RefSeq, a predicted model, not a curated record
GUGCUAAGAUACUGUUUUGUCAAACUUCCUCCCUAGACGUAUCACUUGGCACCAUCCUUACUAUGUUUUCGGUAUCCUGCUAAGUCCAACCUGCUAUCCUGAGCUUUUCGUGCAAAUUUCAUGAGCAGACUAGAACUGUGGCUGAGCGGCAACUGGGAAUACCUUUCCCGAUGCAGAAACUUUACAGCCUUCUCCAAAGAGCUGGGCCUUCGUAUCAUUUAUCCAAAGUUGGAAUCAUCUGAGCCUGGCCAUUUAUGGAGACCAAACUAAGGAAGAUAAUAUUUUUUUAGCAUAUUUGGGGCUGCUUAAACCCAAAUGUUGAAAGAUUAAUGUUAUUGUAAUGUAUUUCGAUGUUAUAAAAACCUUCCCCUUCUGACUUCACAUCC